RNAcentral lists this unclassified non-coding RNA (287 nucleotides) under uncultured fungus. Its description in RNAcentral is "partial contains small subunit ribosomal RNA, internal transcribed spacer 1, and 5.8S ribosomal RNA". The stretch from base 1 to 73 matches the Rfam family "Eukaryotic small subunit ribosomal RNA", at positions 1759 to 1831 of the family's 1831-position model. The record is from RNAcentral. Lineage: Eukaryota; Fungi.
UCAAACUUGGUCAUUUAGAGGAAGUAAAAGUCGUAACAAGGUCUCCGUUGGUGAACCAGCGGAGGGAUCAUUACAGAGAAUUAAAACCCUCUAAACCCAUGUGAAUAUACCUCUUGUUGCCUCGGUCGUGAUGGCUACUUGGUAACCUACCCUGUAGGGCCUUACCCUGUAGUCGGCGACCGACGGACCUCAAAACUCGUUUAAUAGUAGCACUCUGAGUUGACACACAAUAAGUUAAAACUUUCAACAACGGAUCUCUUGGUUCUGGCAUCGAUGAAGAACGCAGC